GGGUUGUGAGGUUAAGCGACUAAGCGUACACGGUGGAUGCCUUGGCAGUCAGAGGCGAUGAAGGACGUGCUAAUCUGCGAUAAGCGUCGGUAAGGUGAUAUGAACCGUUAUAACCGGCGAUUUCCGAAUGGGGAAACCCAGUGUGAUUCGUCACACUAUCAUUAACUGAAUCCAUAGGUUAAUGAGGCGAACCGGGGGAACUGAAACAUCUAAGUACCCCGAGGAAAAGAAAUCAACCGAGAUUCCCCCAGUAGCGGCGAGCGAACGGGGAGGAGCCCAGAGCCUGAAUCAGUGUGUGUGUUAGUGGAAGCGUCUGGAAAGGCGCGCGAUACAGGGUGACAGCCCCGUACACAAAAAUGCACAUGCUGUGAGCUCGAUGAGUAGGGCGGGACACGUGGUAUCCUGUCUGAAUAUGGGGGGACCAUCCUCCAAGGCUAAAUACUCCUGACUGACCGAUAGUGAACCAGUACCGUGAGGGAAAGGCGAAAAGAACCCCGGCGAGGGGAGUGAAAAAGAACCUGAAACCGUGUACGUACAAGCAGUGGGAGCACAGAGCAAUCUGUGUGACUGCGUACCUUUUGUAUAAUGGGUCAGCGACUUAUAUUCUGUAGCAAGGUUAACCGAAUAGGGGAGCCGAAGGGAAACCGAGUCUUAACUGGGCGUUAAGUUGCAGGGUAUAGACCCGAAACCCGGUGAUCUAGCCAUGGGCAGGUUGAAGGUUGGGUAACACUAACUGGAGGACCGAACCGACUAAUGUUGAAAAAUUAGCGGAUGACUUGUGGCUGGGGGUGAAAGGCCAAUCAAACCGGGAGAUAGCUGGUUCUCCCCGAAAGCUAUUUAGGUAGCGCCUCGUGAAUUCAUCUCCGGGGGUAGAGCACUGUUUCGGCAAGGGGGUCAUCCCGACUUACCAACCCGAUGCAAACUGCGAAUACCGGAGAAUGUUAUCACGGGAGACACACGGCGGGUGCUAACGUCCGUCGUGAAGAGGGAAACAACCCAGACCGCCAGCUAAGGUCCCAAAGUCAUGGUUAAGUGGGAAACGAUGUGGGAAGGCCCAGACAGCCAGGAUGUUGGCUUAGAAGCAGCCAUCAUUUAAAGAAAGCGUAAUAGCUCACUGGUCGAGUCGGCCUGCGCGGAAGAUGUAACGGGGCUAAACCAUGCACCGAAGCUGCGGCAGCGACACUGUGUGUUGUUGGGUAGGGGAGCGUUCUGUAAGCCUGUGAAGGUGUGCUGUGAGGCAUGCUGGAGGUAUCAGAAGUG
This 1260-nucleotide ribosomal RNA is filed under the name Escherichia coli. RNAcentral's name for it is "partial 23S ribosomal RNA". It matches the Rfam family "Bacterial large subunit ribosomal RNA", at positions 1 to 1290 of the family's 2925-position model. The record is from RNAcentral. Lineage: Bacteria; Pseudomonadati; Pseudomonadota; Gammaproteobacteria; Enterobacterales; Enterobacteriaceae.